Molecule: ribosomal RNA, 639 nt
Filed under: Xenococcus sp. HSC21
Lineage: Bacteria; Bacillati; Cyanobacteriota; Cyanophyceae; Pleurocapsales; Xenococcaceae
Description: bacterial SSU rRNA
Rfam family: Bacterial small subunit ribosomal RNA
Source: RNAcentral
UCAGGAUGAACGCUGGCGGUAUGCCUAACACAUGCAAGUCGAACGAACUCGCAAGAGAGAGUGGCGGACGGGUGAGUAACGCGUGAGAAUCUGCCUUCAGGAUGGGGACAACAGUUGGAAACGACUGCUAAUACCCAAUAUGCCCUAAGGGGUGAAAGUUAUCUCGCCUGAAGAGGAGCUCGCGUCCGAUUAGCUAGUUGGUGGGGUAAGAGCCUACCAAGGCAGCGAUCGGUAGCUGGUCUGAGAGGAUGAGCAGCCACACUGGGACUGAGACACGGCCCAGACUCCUACGGGAGGCAGCAGUGGGGAAUUUUCCGCAAUGGGCGAAAGCCUGACGGAGCAAUACCGCGUGAGGGAGGAAGGCUUUUGGGUUGUAAACCUCUUUUCUCAAGGAAGAAGCCAGUGACGGUACUUGAGGAAUCAGCAUCGGCUAACUCCGUGCCAGCAGCCGCGGUAAUACGGAGGAUGCAAGCGUUAUCCGGAAUCAUUGGGCGUAAAGCGUCCGCAGGUGGCGUAUCAAGUCUGCUGUCAAAGACUAGAGCUCAACUCUGGAAAGGCGGUGGAAACUGGUAGGCUAGAGUACGGUAGGGGUAGAGGGAAUUCCCAGUGUAGCGGUGAAAUGCGUAGAUAUUGGGAAGA